This 230-nucleotide ribosomal RNA is filed under the name uncultured microorganism. RNAcentral's name for it is "partial 16S ribosomal RNA". It matches the Rfam family "Bacterial small subunit ribosomal RNA", at positions 524 to 753 of the family's 1533-position model. The record is from RNAcentral.
UACGUAGGUGGCAAGCGUUGUCCGGAAUUACUGGGCGUAAAGGGCGUGUAGGUGGUCAAACAAGUCAGGUGUGAAACCCCGGGGCUUAACUUCGGGCAUGCAUUUGAAACUGUAUGACUUGAGGGCAAGAGAGGAAAGUGGAAUUCCUAGUGUAGCGGUGAAAUGCGUAGAUAUUAGGAGGAACACCAGUGGCGAAGGCGACUUUCUGGAUUGACCCUGACACUGAGGCG